RNAcentral lists this long non-coding RNA (460 nucleotides) under Pollicipes pollicipes. RNAcentral's name for it is "uncharacterized LOC119113196". Lineage: Eukaryota; Metazoa; Arthropoda; Thecostraca; Pollicipedomorpha; Pollicipedidae. The record is from RNAcentral.
AACCGAGAUGGCGGGAUUGAUGGAUUGCAUAGCAAGUACAGAGUACCGCGGUUCCAGAACCAGUCUUCACCUCUUCGACUUCAAUAUAUGAAAUGCAACAGAGGUCAGCCAUAUGAGCGAAAGGUCUUCGAAUUUUUGCAAGAUGACAUACAUAACUGCACUCUGCACGCCUCGUUCCGGCUUUUCGGGUGCAUACUCUACAUCAGCUACCACCUAGACCAGCCGGAGUUGGAGGAAGCGGCUCAUCAAACGACGGCAACACAGCCCGGCGGGCCUUCGCAGAAGUAGCGACCUUAGCUGAGAUCACCGGGGUCGACGAGUGCCUAAUCGGAGACCUACAUGCUGCAUUGCAAUGGCAUACGGAUAUCACAUGGACGCUGAAAAGUUCGGUGCCUACUGCCAAGAAACAGCCGAAAUAUAUAUGCACAUGUAUCCGUGGUACAUAUGCACAUAUAGUUCC